UUGUACAGUAGUAGAAGCAUACAGGCAGUUUUUUGAACUAUUCCCAGGAGAAAUAUAUUUGCUCAGUGAAUUUAUUCGAAAUUUAAAAUAGUAUUUCGCAUUAAAAAAUAAAAAACAAAACUAUACCGUUAACAACGCGCAAUUUUCAAAAAAUAAUUAUUUGGAAAAGCUAUCAUGUCUUCUUUACCAAACGGUUCUGCAAAUGUUCGGGACAACCGAGCCUCCAGGCUGCGUGCUGAGAAGUUGGCUGAGAAGCCACAGAAACAGACCAUCGCAUGGACCAAUGCCCCAACCCGUCCUGGAGGAUUUGGAAAACCUGAACCUUGCUAUCCGCAGGGCCUGCCUGCAUUGCAUCCACGAUCGCACAGUCGUAUUCCGACCCGUAGAGUCCCGGGCGUUAAGACCUCAAGAGCCACUUCGCCAGCCCGCUCCAUACGGGGCACUUCCACCGAUCGGGUCAGUAUCUGUUCUCUGCCCAGCCAUUUGGAGGAGAAAGCCAGACCGAAGCGGAAGGCGCUUGUGGGAGAGGAUGGCGACAAACCAAACAAUAAGGAUAAAGAAGCCAGCUCUGUGGACGUCAACAUAAAUGACAAGAAGGACUGCAAGACUGUAAAUAAGCGAAUGCGGUUAGAUCUGUCGGAAACACCACGUCCUGCUGCAAAGAAUGUCAUUCCGCCAAGGAGCAUAAGCGCCAAUCCCCUAAAAAUCCGAAAAAAGAAGACUGACGUCAAGCCCGAUCGCGGCCAUCAUCGCAUUUUGGAGAUGAACAAAAUCCGAGUUGUCGAUGUCCAACAGAAGAAGUUGGAGAAUAUGCAGUCGGAGUUUAUGGCCAAAAUCCGAUCGUUGGGUAGUCUGGCCAAGGAGCUCAAGGGAGUGUACAAGUUUGUGGCCAUGGUGGUCAACGACGAGUGCAAGUUGAUAAUGCACGAGGACGAUAUGCUGCGCCUACCCAGGAAUAUACCCACUGAAAGUGUAAAUGACUUGAAGAAUCGCUGUCGUUACAUUGUCGAUACGGGUUUCAUGAUGUUCUAUGAUUUCAUGCCCCUUAUUCAACAUGCCAAGUCCGACCAGGAGGCACAGGAGAAGCGCGAACAGCUACGCGCCCAGCUUAAGAACGCCGUGAACCGUAAAAUAAACGGCAUAAUCGAAGAGAUCGAUGAGUUGUGCCGUACAAAAGGCGUAAGAGACGAGUCCUCCAACAGUCUGUUAUACCGCGAAAUCAACGACUUGCGGGUUCAAAAGACGAACAUGGAGACUCGAUACUUUGAUCUGAAGAAGGAGCAUAUCGAACUGAUGAACCAGCAGAAGGACGAGCUCGAGGCCAAGAUGGCGGCGGAGCUUGCUGUUCGGGAUCAUUGUGUCCUGGAAUUGAAAAAGUCAUUGCGACGCAGCGAGGAACUGGUUGGAGAGUUGAAUAUUGAAUUGGCCGAGAAGAAUGACGAUCUGAAGAGUGAGAGCAACACUAUUUCAAAAUUGCGGUCAGAACUCGAUGACCUUAAUACUGUCAACAACCGGAUUCGUAAGCGUCUGGAGGAUGCUGAUUUGGGAUUAGAACGUGCCCACAAGUCAGUUACGAAAAACGAGGAGAAGAUCUCUUACCUGGAAGAUGAGCUUAAAGAGGCUCGGGAGUUCAUUGUCAAUCUCCAAAAGCGUCCAGAUCCUCUGGACGACAAGAGUAUGGGAGAGAAGGAUUUGAUCAUCGCUGACCUUAAGUUGAAGCUCCAGAAUUUCGAACACCACCGGAACAUGAUGCAAAAGCAAGUGAGCUCUGCUGUGAAGCAGCUCGCCGAGUUUGAGGAAUUGAACUGCAAGUACCAGACUGUCGCUGUUCAAGUCAAUGAGCUCCGGGAGCAGCUGAGAAAUUCUGAUGCGAAACUGAUGACCCAGGCCCGAAUCGAGGAGCAGUUGCGGAAGGACUUGGAGAAGUUGCGCGAGCAGGCCGGUCGGGAUCAGAAAAUGCUGUCCAUGCGGAGCGAACUCAUCAAUAAUCUUCAGGAGAACGAGAAGGAAAGCCAAAACAAAAUAAACAAAAUGUACUACCAAGCUAACGAAAAAGAUACGCUGCUUAAACAGGUCCAGGUGAGUAACGAGCUGGCCUCGAAAGACGAAGAGUUCCGUAAUCUGUUCGGAACCCUCACAUUCAAGCAGAAGGAGGUUAGACGACAAGAGCACAUUAUCAAGCUGCUGGAGGAGCAAAAUUCAAGGAAUACGAUGUUGCGGGCCAAACAGGAUGAACGAAAUGCUGCCAUGCAGGCGGAGAUAGUUAAUUUGAAGCGGACCAUAUACACCAUUAUGCUAGGACCCGAUCCGGAAAACGUGGCUAGCAAUGAGCUUCUUCAUUUUUAAAGACGAUUUAGACACUUCAGACAUCUGGAGUUCAUUUUCAAAAUUAUUGAUCAUAAGUACUCAAAGAUUAUCAUUGGUAAUAAU
This 2430-nucleotide unclassified non-coding RNA is filed under the name Drosophila ananassae. Its description in RNAcentral is "GF12073". The record is from RNAcentral. Lineage: Eukaryota; Metazoa; Arthropoda; Insecta; Diptera; Drosophilidae.